UACGGAGGGUGCAAGCGUUGUUCGGAAUCACUGGGCGUAAAGCGCGUGUAGGCGGUCUGCUAAGUCUGAUAUGAAAGCCCGGGGCUCACCCUCGGAAGUGCAUUGGAAACUGGCAGACUGGAGUCCCGGAGAGGAGGGUGGAAUUCCUGGUGUAGCGGUGAAAUGCGUAGAUAUCAGGAGGAACACCGGUGGCGAAGGCGGCCCUCUGGACGGUGACUGACGCUGAGACGCGAAAGCGUGGGGAGCAAACAGG
Molecule: ribosomal RNA, 253 nt
Filed under: uncultured bacterium
Lineage: Bacteria
Description: partial 16S ribosomal RNA
Rfam family: Bacterial small subunit ribosomal RNA
Source: RNAcentral